AGAGUUUGAUCAUGGCUCAGGAUGAACGCUAGCUACAGGCUUAACACAUGCAAGUCGAGGGGAAACGACAUCGAAAGCUUGCUUUUGAUGGGCGUCGACCGGCGUACGGGUGAGUAACGCGUAUCCGGGGAACCUGCCCACCACUUGGGGAUAACCUUGCGAAAGUAAGACUAAUACCCAAUGAUAUCUCUAGAAGACAUCUGAAAGAGAUUAAAGAUUUAUCGGUGAUGGAUGGGGAUGCGUCUGAUUAGCUUGUUGGCGGGGUAACGGCCCACCAAGGCGACGAUCAGUAGGGGUUCUGAGAGGAAGGCCCCCCACAUUGGAACUGAGACACGGUCCAAACUCCUACGGGAGGCAGCA
RNAcentral lists this ribosomal RNA (360 nucleotides) under uncultured bacterium. Its description in RNAcentral is "bacterial SSU rRNA". It matches the Rfam family "Bacterial small subunit ribosomal RNA", at positions 8 to 353 of the family's 1533-position model. The record is from RNAcentral.